RNAcentral lists this long non-coding RNA (222 nucleotides) under Mytilus galloprovincialis (Mediterranean mussel). The record is from RNAcentral. Lineage: Eukaryota; Metazoa; Mollusca; Bivalvia; Mytilida; Mytilidae.
UUGUGUUGUUUUCAUCUAGUUGUAAAAUCGUGAACAUAGCAUGUGAAUUUUCAUCUGCAAGCAGCUUCUUACACAGCUUAAGGAUAAAAGCAUGGCUGAUUGACAAAAUUCAAUGAUGCAGUACUACCAUAAAGAUAAUAAAUAGUAUUUUUUUCACUAAUUUAUUGACAUAAUACUUGUUGUAACAUAUUUUAUUUUUGUAUACAAUUAAAUCAUUUAAAG